GAUGAACGCUGGCGGCGUGCCUAUUGCAUGCAAGUCGAGCGAACGGACGAGAAGCUUGCUUCUCUGAUGUUAGCGGCGGACGGGUGAGUAACACGUGGAUAACCUACCUAUAAGACUGGGAUAACUUCGGGAAACCGGAGCUAAUACCGGAUGAUAUUUUGAACCGCAUGGUUCAAAAGUGAAAGACGGUCUUGCUGUCACUUAUAGAUGGAUCCGCGCUGCAUUAGCUAGUUGGUAAGGUAACGGCUUACCAAGGCAACGAUGCAUAGCCGACCUGAGAGGGUGAUCGGCCACACUGGAACUGAGACACGGUCCAGACUCCUACGGGAGGCAGCAGUAGGGAAUCUUCCGCAAUGGGCGAAAGCCUGACGGAGCAACGCCGCGUGAGUGAUGAAGGUCUUCGGAUCGUAAAACUCUGUUAUUAGGGAAGAACAUAUGUGUAAGUAACUGUGCACAUCUUGACGGUACCUAAUCAGAAAGCCACGGCUAACUACGUG
This 497-nucleotide ribosomal RNA is filed under the name uncultured bacterium. Its description in RNAcentral is "partial 16S ribosomal RNA". It matches the Rfam family "Bacterial small subunit ribosomal RNA", at positions 28 to 507 of the family's 1533-position model. The record is from RNAcentral.